Molecule: ribosomal RNA, 252 nt
Filed under: uncultured bacterium
Lineage: Bacteria
Description: partial 16S ribosomal RNA
Rfam family: Bacterial small subunit ribosomal RNA
Source: RNAcentral
UACGGAGGAUGCGAGCGUUAUCCGGAUUUAUUGGGUUUAAAGGGUGCGUAGGCGGGCUUUUAAGUCAGCGGUAAAAAUUCGGGGCUCAACCCCGUCCGGCCGUUGAAACUGGGGGCCUUGAGUGGGCGAGAAGAAGGCGGAAUGCGUGGUGUAGCGGUGAAAUGCAUAGAUAUCACGCAGAACUCCGAUUGCGAAGGCAGCAUACCGGCGCCCGACUGACGCUGAGGCACGAAAGCGUGGGGAUCGAACAGG